CUGUGUUGCCAGAUUAUGUCAUUAGUAAUUAAAAAGUCACUUGAGGGCAAGGGCGGCCCGACCCCCCAGGAGGCCAUCCAGAGGCUUCGGGACACGGAGGAGAUGCUAAGUAAGAAACAGGAAUUCCUGGAGAAGAAGAUCGAGCAGGAGCUGACAGCCGCCAAGAAGCAUGGCACCAAAAACAAGCGCGCUGCCCUCCAGGCACUGAAGCGCAAGAAGAGGUAUGAAAAGCAGCUGGCACAGAUCGACGGCACACUGUCAACCAUCGAGUUCCAGCGAGAGGCCCUGGAGAAUGCUAACACCAACACCGAGGUGCUCAAGAACAUGGGCUAUGCCGCCAAAGCCAUGAAGGCUGCCCACGACAACAUGGACAUCGAUAAAGUUGAUGAGUUAAUGCAGGACAUUGCUGACCAGCAGGAACUUGCAGAAGAGAUUUCAACAGCUAUUUCAAAACCUGUAGGGUUUGGAGAAGAGUUUGACGAGGAUGAGCUCAUGGCAGAAUUAGAAGAACUAGAACAGGAGGAACUAGACAAGAAUUUGCUGGAAAUCAGUGGACCGGAAACAGUCCCUCUACCAAAUGUUCCUUCUAUAUCCGUACCAUCAAAACCCACCAAGAAGAAGGAAGAGGAAGACGACGACAUGAAGGAAUUGGAGACCUGGGCUGGAUGCAUUUAACUGGUCCAGCGCGGGCUGGGCCCAGACAGACUCUGGUGGCCUGUGAGGCAGGCAGGCGCGUGCGUGUGUGGGGCAGGCAGGCCGUGGUGCAGGCAGGUUCCAUCGCUCUCGAAUCUCCCUCCAAAGCAGUAGGGCUGCGUCACUGCUCACUCUGCAUAGCAUGGUCUGCACCCAGUGGUACGGGUUGGGGGGAGGGGAGUGGGGGGCUGGGAGGUGCCUGCUGUUUAUAAUGUUGAAUUUCUGUAAAAUAAACUGUAUUUGCAAAUC
Delphinapterus leucas (beluga whale) is the source of this 942-nucleotide non-coding RNA. The record is from RefSeq and is a predicted model, not a curated record. NCBI's taxonomy places the organism in Eukaryota, Metazoa, Chordata, Mammalia, Artiodactyla, Monodontidae.